Molecule: RNA transcript, 1451 nt
Organism: Macaca mulatta (Rhesus monkey)
Lineage: Eukaryota; Metazoa; Chordata; Mammalia; Primates; Cercopithecidae
Source: RefSeq, a predicted model, not a curated record
CGGUCGGCAGAGAACGCAGAGAGAAGCAGAACGCGGCCCACUCCUUCAGGGCCCUCCAGGCCCUCCGGCCCUGGGCCGGCGGGUGAACUGGGGGGCCCCGGGACAGGCCGAGCCCUGUGCCAUGCAGAUACCGGAGGCCUCUGCUGCGGCUGCCCGCUGGCUGUGCCCAGGCCUUGAAGCCGCCGCGAACCUCUCUUCCCCACCCCACCUCGGUGACUGAUGGCGGCGGCGGCCUCUCCAGGCCCGGACCCGGCCGGCCGCCGGGUCUCCCGGCCUAAGCCUGCCGGGCCUCAACGAAACCCCCGCAGAGCCGCCGGGACGCAGCGCCUUUGGGCGGCGGCGGGCGUGGCGGGCCGGGAAGCAUGGCGGCCGCGCGGCGGAGGCCAUUAGGGCGUGUAGGGCCCAGGAAGGCGGCCUAGGGACGCAGGCAGGCUCAGCUGCCUCUUUAGGCCACGAAGCCGCGCAGAUCCGGUUCCCGGGUGACCACUCUGUCGCCAUUGGCCGAAACCUACCUAGUCCUGACGACAACGGACAAAGGCCUUAACGGACCUGGGAGGUGAGCGAAGUCCCAAACGACGACCGGGUGGAACGAUUAGCGGCCAUCGGGCAGUUGGUCUUCGUUCUACCAGAUUUUGCUGUUGGAAGAGAGAAAUGGUAGAAUGACAGGCCAUGUUUGGCCCGCUGGAAAUGCCCGCCACCCUCUGGGAAGAUUUACUGGCCGAUUUUAGAAGGCCUGUGUAUAUAAUAUGAAAAAGCUGCUCUCAACUCCACCCCAACCUUUUAAUAGAAAACAUUUGUCACAUCUAGCCCUUUUAGAUGGAAAGAGGUUGCCGACGUAUGAUAAAGUAGAGUUAGAAAGUCACACAUCUUGUAAAUUCUCAUUUGUUUAAAAGAAAUCAUAGAAAAUACGUGUCUUCUGGAGAUGACUUUUGGAAAUGAAGUUGUUAGACGGCCUCUGGAAGCGAUACGUCCACGUUAAGUGGGUUAGAUGACAUCGAGCUGGAAGACGUGAGAAAGAAAAGAAGGUUCUAUGCUAGACUGGUCAUAUUUAGAAGACAUUUUCAUAUUCUAUCCAUUGUUUUGUGUGAAUUUUAUUCCUCACUACUGUGUAUAUAGUUGACAAUGCUAAGCUUUUUUGAAAUGUCUAUUCUUUUUAGAUGUUCUGAAGUGCCUGAUAUAUGUUAAAAUUAGAGGUAGCAAAAUAACAUUUUGUAAGUAUCUUUUUGUUACAAUUCAUAGGAAAUGUUUUUUGGGGGGAAUGGCCAAGUCACCUGUUGAGUAAUACUCAUUGUGUUUGUGCAGUGGUUCAGGGGAGGAGAGAAGAGGGGGAGGUGCAGAGAGCUCUAUGCCAUCCUGCUUGCAGCGAGGCAAGAUGAAUCAUUAUCUCUGUGCAUUUUGUUUUACUUAUCUGUGUAUAUAGUGUACAUAAAGGACAGACGAGUCCUAAUUGA